GAAGGUGGCAAGCGUUGUUCGGAAUCAUUGGGCUUAAAGCGCACGUAGGCGGACUGGAAAGUGUCUUGUGAAAACCCACGGCUUAACCGUGGAAUUGCUUGGCAAACUAUCAGUCUUGAGGCAAGUAGGGGUACAUGGAACUCUUAGUGGAGCGGUGGAAUGCGUAGAUAUUAAGAGGAACGCCAAUGGUGAAGACAGUGUACUGGGCUUGUACUGACGCUGAGGUGCGAAAGCGUGGGGAGCGAACGGGAUUAGAUACCCCGGUAGUCCACGCCGUAAACGAUGUCUACUAGAUCGUGGGAGUUCUGACACUUUCACGGUCGAAGCAAAAGUGUUAAGUAGACCGCCUGGGGAGUACGGUCGCAAGGCUA
Molecule: ribosomal RNA, 371 nt
Filed under: uncultured organism
Description: partial 16S ribosomal RNA
Rfam family: Bacterial small subunit ribosomal RNA
Source: RNAcentral